RNAcentral lists this unclassified non-coding RNA (520 nucleotides) under uncultured Entrophospora. Its description in RNAcentral is "SSU rRNA". It matches the Rfam family "Eukaryotic small subunit ribosomal RNA", at positions 569 to 1084 of the family's 1831-position model. The record is from RNAcentral. Lineage: Eukaryota; Fungi; Glomeromycota; Glomeromycetes; Entrophosporales; Entrophosporaceae.
AGCAGCCGCGGUAAUUCCAGCUCCAAUAGCGUAUAUUAAAGUUGUUGCAGUUAAAAAGCUCGUAGUUGAAUUUCGGGAUUGACACAUCGGUCGUGCCUUAAGGGGUAUGAACUGGUGUAGUCAAUUUCUCACCUUCUGGAGAACCGCGAUGCCCUUAAUUGGGUGCCGCGGGGAACCAGGACCUUUACUUUGAAAAAAUUAGAGUGUUUAAAGCAGGCAUUUUGCUUGAAUACAUUAGCAUGGAAUAAUAAAAUAGGACGGCAUGAUUCUAUUUUGUUGGUUUCUAGGAUCACCGUAAUGAUUAAUAGGGAUAGUUGGGGGCAUUAGUAUUCAAUUGUCAGAGGUGAAAUUCUUGGAUUUAUUGAAGACUAACUACUGCGAAAGCAUUUGCCAAGGAUGUUUUCAUUAAUCAAGAACGAAAGUUAGGGGAUCGAAGACGAUCAGAUACCGUCGUAGUCUUAACCAUAAACUAUGCCGACUAGGAAUCAGACGAUGUUAAUUUUUAAUGUACUCGUUUGGC